Molecule: ribosomal RNA, 253 nt
Filed under: uncultured bacterium
Lineage: Bacteria
Description: partial 16S ribosomal RNA
Rfam family: Bacterial small subunit ribosomal RNA
Source: RNAcentral
GACAGAGGCCUCGAGCGUUAGGCGGAAUCACUGGGCUUAAAGCGUGUGUAGGCGGGCCCGUAAGUGUCUUGUGAAAUCCCACGGCUCAACCGUGGAACUGCUGGGCAUACUGCGGGUCUUGGGCCAACUAGGGGCAGCCGGAACAAGCGGUGGAGCGGUGAAAUGCGUAGAUAUCGCUUGGAACGCCAAUGGUGAAAACAGGUUGCUGGGAGUGUGCUGACGCUGAGACACGAAAGCCAGGGGAGCGAACGGG